ACGACUGCUGGUAAGAGUGGAUAGGAAAUAAAAAGGCAUCUUUUUAUUUUUAAAAGACCUUUUUCGGAAGGUAUGCUUAAAGAGGGGCUUGCGUCACAUUAGUUAGUUGGCAGGGUAAAAGCCUACCAACACUAUGAUGUGUAACUGGACUGAGAGGUUGAACAGUCACAUUGUGACUGAGACACGGCCCAAACUCCUACAGCAGGCAGCAGUAGGGAAUUUUCGGCAAUGGAGGAAACUCUGACCGAACAACGCCGCGUGAACGAUGAAGUAUUUCGGUAUGUAAAGUUCUUUUAUUGAAGAAGAAAAAAUAGUGGAAAAACUAUCUUGACGAUAUUCAAUGAAUAAGCCCCGGCAAACUAUGUGCCAGCUGCCGCGGUAAUACAUGGGGGGCGAGCGUUAUCCGGAAUUAUUGGGCGUAAAGGGUGCGUAAGCGGUUUAAUAAGUCUAUAGUUUAAUUUCAGUGCUUAACACUGUCCUGCUAUAGAAACUAUUAGACUAGAGUAAGAUAGAGGCAAAUGGAAUUCCAAGAGUAGCGGUAAAACGCGUAAAUAUAUGGAGGAACACCAGAGGCGUAGGCGGCUUGAUGGGGAUUUUACGACGCUGAGGCACGAAAGCGUGGGGAGCAAACAGGAUUAGAUACCCAGGUAGUCCACACCGUAAACGAUGAGUACUAAGUGUCGGGAUUACUCGGUACUGAAGUUAACACAUUAAGUACUCCGCCUGAGUAGUACGUACGCAAGUAUGAAACUUAAAGGAAUUGACGGGACUCCGCACAAGCGGUGGAUCAUGUUGUUUAAUUAGAAGAUACACGAAAAACCUUACCAGGUCUUGACAUACUCUGCAAAGCUAUAGCAAUAUAGUGGAGGUUAUCAGGGAUACAGGUGGUGCAUGGUUGUCGUCAGCUCGUGUCGUGAGAUGUUAGGUUAAGUCCUAAAACGAGCGCAACCCUUGUCAUUAGUUGCCAGCAUGUCAUGAUGGGCACUUUAAUGAGACUGCCAAUGAAAAAUUGGAGGAAGGUGAGGAUCACGUCAAAUCAUCAUGCCCCUUAUGAUCUGGGCUACAAACGUGAUACAAUGGCUGUUACAAAGAGUAGCUGAAACGUAAGUUUAUAGUCAAUCUCAUAAAAGCAGUGUCAGUUUGGAUUGAAGUCUGCAACUCGACUUCAUGAAGUUGGAAUCGCUAGUAAUCGCGAAUCAGCAUGUCGCGGUGAAUACGUUCUCGGGGUUAGUACACACCGCCUGUCA
Molecule: ribosomal RNA, 1247 nt
Filed under: Sugarcane whiteleaf phytoplasma
Lineage: Bacteria; Bacillati; Mycoplasmatota; Mollicutes; Acholeplasmatales; Acholeplasmataceae
Description: bacterial SSU rRNA
Rfam family: Bacterial small subunit ribosomal RNA
Source: RNAcentral